Eriocheir sinensis (Chinese mitten crab) is the source of this 4825-nucleotide long non-coding RNA. RefSeq lists it as uncharacterized. The transcript has 2 exons. NCBI's taxonomy places the organism in Eukaryota, Metazoa, Arthropoda, Malacostraca, Decapoda, Varunidae. The record is from RefSeq and is a predicted model, not a curated record.
AUGAUAAUAAUAAUAAUAAUAACAGUAAUAAUAAAAAUGUCACUAAAAAUGUUGUAUUCCAAGGUGUAUGAAAUGAUCAAUUAAUUCAUAUGACAAAGUUUAUGCUACAAAGGCGAUGUGGCUCGCUCCGUUUCUUUCGUUAACUUAUGUCUCCAUAUCAAUUAUUUCAUUACGCAAAAUAUAUGUUUGUUUUUUUCUGGUGGAUAUGAAUAAGAAAUAAAAAAUAUUCAUAACAAUGAUUCGACCAUAACCAACAACACCACCGCCCCACCGUAUGCAGCUGUCUGCGGGUCGACUGCCAGCGCCGGUUCUUCACUCUUUUUGAAGCCUAUUCUGCACUAAAUACAUGCAACAAUUCGAUUAUAAAUAGCUACAGAACCGCUGGUUUGGGAGGUGUGAGAUGAGCCUUGACUCCCAUGUCGCUUCACGCGUCUUCCUGUGGGUAUCUGGCAACGCUCCGUCCCAGCCCAUUAACUGCCCGGUCACAGGUCAGGGCGGGGCAGCGACAGUCGCCACCCGCCAGUCCAUCUUCAGUUGGUCAGCCCGUGUGUUUCACGAUAUUUAUAAAUGACACAACACUAUAGACACAAACCUACACGUCCAUCGAGCUUUCCCUUGCUGCACUGAUAUUCACUUCCGUAAUCACUAUGUCUAUUUUUACCGUCCCAAGAUGUUUGCACCAGAAGAAAAAAAAAACAGUACAUAAACACGGCACGACCCAAUACGUCCUACCCCUACCAAGGCUAAAAUAUUACUACUACUACUACUACUACUACUACUACUACUACUACUACUACUACUACUACCACUACUACUACCACUAUUAUUACUACUACUACUACAGAAACAACUACUAAUACAACUACUAUUACCAUUAAUAUCUCUACUAUUACUACUGUUACUACUACUUUUACUACUACUAUUACUAAUUCUGUUAUUACUACUACUACUACCACUACUAUUACUAUUAGUACUACCACUACUACCACUACUACUGCUACUACUACUACUACUACUACUACUACUACUACUACUACUACUACUACAUAAAUGAUACCUCCACCCAUGUUUAUUUUCCCGACACAUAAUCAUGGAGAGCUCCAUCGCUUUUUUUUUUUUUUUUUUACAACAAAGGAGGCAGCUCAAGGGCACACAAAAAAAGAAAACAAUAAUAAAAAAAAAGCCCGCUACUCGCUGCUCCUAAAAAAGAAACAAAAGAGGUGGCCGAAAGCAAGAUCAAAUACGGGAGGAGAGAUGUCCUGAUACCCUUGGAGGUCAUUAGCCUCAACUCUGUUCGCUAAUGACUGUAGCAUCCAACCAUAUCACUAAUACUACCUAGCACUAAAUCACUUUUCAUCUGUUACGUCCAGAUCCCCCUUUCCUUCCCUACUCAUGUCACUCCCGACCAACCCUAAUGUCACUCUCCACCACUGUGGCUUCAUAGUCCAUAUUGGAGAUGUUGGUGGCUUUUGGGCCAGAGUGUCUGGUGCUUCUGAGACAUAGGAUGGCCGACCUGAGCAGGGAGAACGAGAGGCGACAUCUCAUUCAUGCGACAACGUGGCUCCUUGGCUGAUGCUUCUUUUCUGAGAUUAAUUCCGCGAGUAGUGCGUAGAAGCAUUGGGCCCUGGGACCCAUCCCGCCGGAUGUGGUGAAGACGAGGGGGGUGAAGCUGCCCUGAUCCACAUGUUGGAUUCUUUCACCGUAUGCCCUUGUCUUCUCCUGCUCGUUCCUGUGGUGGGCGGCUUCCAGGGGCAGCUCACGGUGACAGGCAGCCAUCGGGUCGAAUAAGCGGAUGUCCAUGGACGCCCGCUGUUCGCGCACCCAGAAUCCGAGGGCACUUACAUCAACCCGUGCCUCCUGUGAGGUGGGUUUAAACCAUGGCACAAAUUUGGCCCGUCGCUGCUACACGGUGAAGCCACAAAUUUGGCCCGUCGCUGCUACACGGUGAAGCCACAAAUUUGGCCCGUCGCUGCUACCGGGCUACUAAAACAACUACUAAUGCAAUUACAAUUACAACUAACAUCUCUACUAGUACUACUGUUACAACCAUUUUUACUACUACUAUCACUACUUCUAUUACUACUACUACUACUACAACUAUUACUACAACUAUUACUACUACUACUACUACUACCACUACUAACUACUACAACUACUGCUACUACUACUGUUACUACUACUACUGCUACUACUACUACUACCACUACUACAACUACUUAUAUUACUACUACUACUACUACUACUCCUUCCACUACCAUUACUACUACUACUGCUACUACUACCGCUACUACUACUAUUACUACUGCUACUACUACUUGUAUGCUACUAGCACUACUAUACUAUAACAACUACUAAUACAACUACUAUUACCACUAAUAUGUCUAUUAUUAGUACAGUUAAUACUAAUUUUACUACUACUAUUACUACUUGUAUUAUUACUACUACUGCUGCUACUACCACUACUAUUGCUACUACUGCUACAACAGCAUCUACUACUACUACUACUUUUUUUUUUAAACCUGGGUCCUUCCAGACACUUCCUCCGUCUACUACCAAUACUAAUACUUAUACUACUAAAACUGGCUCACGGCGUGGCUUAGCAAUAGGAAGCAGAGAGUGCAAAUCAAUGGUAAAAGAUCUGACUGGGGAUGUGUUACGAGUGGGGUCCCACAAGGUUCGGUAGUAGGUCCACUUUUGUUUAUUAUUUAUAUCAAUGACUUAGAUACAGGAAUCAGUAGAGAUGUUAGUAAGUUUGCAGAUGAUACCAAGAUCGGUAGUGUAAAUGAGUCGGAUCAGGACGCUAGUAUUCUCCAGGGUGAACUAAACAGAUUGUAUGACUGGGCGGAUAAAUGGCAAAUGGAGUUCAAUGUAGUGGAAGUUCAGUAUUCUGAGUGUUGGUAGGUACAACCCCUCACAUAACUAUUGCUUAAAUGACACUCUCAUAAGCAGGUCUGGGUGCGAGAGGGAUUUAGGGGUCUUAGUGAGCUCUGAUCUCCGUCCAAGGGCACAAUGCAUUCAAGCUAGAAAUCGAGCAAAUAGGGUACUGGGAUUUAUUUCAAGGAGCGUAAGCAACAGAAGCGCCGAAGUCUUACUUAAACUAUAUUUAGUUAGACCUCAUCUUGACUAUCCGGUUCAGUUCUGGUCACCUUACUUUAGAAUCGAUAUCAAAAUGUUAGAAUCGAUGCAGAGGAGGAUGACUAAGAUGAUUCAGGGGUUGAGAAACUUGCCAUACGAGGAAAGACUCAAACAGUUAAACUUGCAUUCUCUAGAAAGGCGAAGGGUGCGUGGAGACAUGAUCGAGGUUUAUAAAUGGAUGAAGGGCUUUAAUAAGGGGGAUAUUCAUAAGGUUUUGUUGGUAAGAGAACCGGGUAAGACACGAAGUAAUGGGUUUAAACUGGGUAAAUUCAGAUUCAACAGGGACAUAGGCAAAAAUUGGUUUACUAUCAGAGUGGUGGAUGAGUGGAAUAGGCUUAGCAGUCACGUAGUGAGUGCCAAUAGAAUUGUCACUUUCAAAAAUAGAUUAGAUAAAUUCAUGGACGGCGAUAUUAGGUGGGGUUAGAUACACGGGAGCUUAGGUUUAAAGGAGCUGCCUCGCACAGGCCUACCGGCCUCUUGCAAACUCCUACGUUCUUAUGUUCUUAUGUUCUUAUGGUGUCUAUGUCUGUGAGGCUUUAUGGCUCAGGUGCUGUUUGAGGUUGACAGAGAGCCUUUUGGUGCCUAUGUAUGUAAGGCUUUAAGGUUCAGGUGUUGUACAAAGUUGACAGAGAGCCUUUUGGUGUCUAUGUAUGUAAGGCUUUAAGGCUCAAGGCCCAUACUUAUAAAGAAGUAAGGCGUUUGACUUAUGUCUCGUCUCAGAGGUGAGUGUGCACCCUGGCUGGGGCUCCAGCCGCCACGGGCAGUGGGGAAAGUAAAGUUGCCAACAACGGCGAGAUCAGUUAUCUCAUAUGAAAAUUAAUGGGUAAGAUUCCUUAAAAUGGUGAAAGUAUUGAAUAGAAGUACAUCAUAUCCAUAAAAAUAAGGUUUUGUAAGACUAUAGUGAGCGUUUGAAUGUAAAACGAUUUGAUGAGGCACGCUGGCUGUCUGGCAACACCCGGCAAUGUUUACAUUUGAAGGUCGCUGCCUCAGACGAAGACCCAGGACUUAUGCCUGCCUGGGACCAACUUUAGCUACUCGCGCCGCGUCUCAGAUUAACACCCAGGAUAUAGGACUCCACAGGGCCGGUUUGCGCUCUUAAGACGAGCCUGAGACAAAGUGUUAGCUUUAUAAGUAUGGGCCCAGGUGCUGUACAAGGUUGACAAAGAGCCUUUUGGUGUCUAUGUAUGUAAGGCUUUAAGGCUCAGGUGCUGUACAAGGUUUACAAAGAGCCUUUUGGUGUCUAUGUAUGUAAGGCUUUAAGGCUCAGGUGCUGUACAAGGUUUACAAAGAGCCUUUUGGUGUCUAUGUAUGUAAGGCUUUAAGGCUCAGGUGCUGUACAAGGUUUACAAAGAGCCUUUUGGUGUCUAUGUAUGUAAGGCUUUAAGGCUCAGGUGCUGUACAAGGUUUACAAAGAGCCUUUUGGUGUCUAUGUAUGUAAGGCUUUAAGGCUCAGGUGCUGUACAAGGUUGGCAGAGAGCCUUUUUGUGUCUAUGUGUGUAAGGCUUUAAGGCUCAGGUGCUGUAUGAGGUUGGCAGACAACCUCUCGGUGCCUAUGUCUGUAAGGCUUUUAGGCUCAGGUGCUGAACGAGUUUGGCAGACAGUCUCUUGGCACCAGUAGUUGACAUAAGAAAAUGAAUUCCCGAUCAUCUUUUGAGGGGGAGGAGGCCCCCCUAAAAAAAAAAAAAAACCA